Molecule: long non-coding RNA, 1447 nt
Filed under: Macaca mulatta (Rhesus monkey)
Lineage: Eukaryota; Metazoa; Chordata; Mammalia; Primates; Cercopithecidae
Description: lncRNA (ENSMMUG00000063659.1)
Source: RNAcentral
ACUGCCUGUAGUUUUUGUAGUCACUUUCUUGAAUUCCACCUGGGUUUCUUCUCUCCAUAGCUAUUAUCAGUAUCUGGAAUUUUCUUCCGUAUUAAUUUACAUUUCUCUUGACCAUCUCCAUUCCCUGCAUACUCCCCACCCCAACACACAAAGAGCGGGAAGCUUGUCGGUGUUGUUCACUGCCCCAUCUCUAACACUUCAGACAAUGCCUAGUGCUCAAUAAAGAUUUCAGUGACUGGCCCUUCGUUUUACAGAUGUGAAAAACUAAGACACAGAGCUGUUAAAAGAUCUAAUGACAGAGCUCAGAACGGAACACAGGUCUCCUACUUCUAGACGCAUGUUUUUGAGGAGAUCCGUAGAUCAGCGUCUCUCCUGGUCAGGACCAUGGAGGCCUUCUGCCCGCUGUGUGAAGCUUCGCUGGAUGCCAGCUUCGAAAGCCAAAGUACCUAGGCAAUGCUUGGCAUAAACAGGGGGAGAAUAAAUAAGAAGAAAGAGGUACAAAGAAGGAGUCAGAAAGAAAAGGAAAGAAGGAAAUCAAAAUAGGAAAGAGAAAAGGUGGGAAAGAGAAACAAAAGAGAAAAAUGAGAGAGAAGAAAAGACAGCCAAAAAAGAAACAGGUGAGAAAAAUACAUAGGGACAACUAAAAUAUUUUAUAGAUGAGAAAAAGAGUUGAAGAAUUUUUAAGAUACUCAUAACUGAAAUAGUGCCUAUUCAUGCGAUGCAAAUCAUCAGGAAUGUUUCAUUUAUAGUUAUUUCAAUGAUUUGCACUUAAUUCCUAUUAAGUUUCCUCCUGCCUUUCAUCCUUGUCUCAAUUUCUUUUGCUUUUACGGAGUGAAUCAAUCAGCAGGUGGAUUUCCCACAUACAGUCAAUGGACCAUUACUGCUAGUAGACUCAUGUGGGCUCAUGGUCCCCUCUAGCUCAUACGGGCAUCGCUCAAGUUUCCAAGCUGUCCUCAGUCCUGGUGCAGAAAGAAACCGCUUCCCAUUCCAGCCAACAUUUUUCCUAUGCUAUUUGAAUUCACACUUUAAAUAACACGAGUUAAUAAGAGUAUUGAACAACUUGGUCAGUACCAAGGGGCUAACACUGCUAUUAUUUGCUAAAGGCAAUAUAAUUUGAUCUGGUACAUUUCCAUUUACUUAACUAUAGAUCCUUAUUCUCAGUACCGAAUAUAAAUAUCUUCUUGCCUGCCGGGAACAGUUUUUUGAAAAGAUGUUAUUUUUAUCUAUUUGAAUAACUCGGGAAAAGAAUAUAGAUCAUCACCUCAGAUUUAAAAAAAAAAGAAAAAGGGAAAAGUUUUAUUUUCAUGAGCCCACUGACCACAUCAUUUACUAGUGUUGGCAAGGGUGCAGCACCUCAUAAGCAAAAAUAGCCCUGCUGUCACCCUCAAGAGGUUAUGUUUUAUAUCCAGCACAUUUGAGGAGUGUUGCUUAUUACAGCUUGGUAAAU